This 786-nucleotide long non-coding RNA is filed under the name Homo sapiens (human). RNAcentral describes it as "HSALNT0392163". The record is from RNAcentral. Lineage: Eukaryota; Metazoa; Chordata; Mammalia; Primates; Hominidae.
GCUAUCGCCUCCGCUCUCUGAUUGGCUGUGCGGCGGCCAAUCGGGUGAGGGGGCCGCCAGCCCGUGCGGCCCCACGUGGGGCGGCGCGAGGGGCUGUUAGAGGACCGCAGCGGGCGGGGCGCGUGGUUCGAUCGCGCGCUACGCGCCUCGGGGACGCGGUCCGCGCCACCCCCAGCCGUCCCUGCCGUCCCGAGGCCCCCAGCGAGCGGCGCCGUGGCUUCGGGCGCGCGGGGCUCGGGGCCAUCGCCGGGUGCUGUGCGGUUCCCGGCUCGGAGGCGCUGGGCCGGCGUCGCGGCUGCCCCCUGCCCACGCGGGAGGGAAGCGAGCGGCGCUCAGGGACCAGGAGCGAAGGCCUUGCCACCUGGCGAGGCGGGGAGGCCAAGACAGGGUAUUUGAGGAGAAUUGAAUAAAUGGAAAAUACGUGAAUUAAAGGAGAGCUGUGCAGUACCCAGGGCCAGCAACAAAGGGGAGCUGUUACCCCCUGAGACCUGGAGGGCAGCUGGAGCCACAGGAGAGGCCGUCUCCAGGAGCCCUGACCUUGGAGAGGGACACAGCGACCCGGCAGGGAGGAGCUGCUGCUGUACACUGACCUCACCCCUCCUGACCGCUUGGCUUGUCUACCGGCUACGCAUUGGCUGAACUAGGUGGAGGCCAGGGAGCAACGAGGCCCCAUGGAUCCUGUACCUACAGUCAGCUUCCCGGGGCACAGAGCAGGGGCUGGCAUGGGGCAAUGGGAAGAUGUCCAGCACCUGUUUUGAAGUGUGAAUAAAAGCAUCGUAGAAAAUG